GCUACUGUGUGACAGUGCAUGGCUGU
This 26-nucleotide non-coding RNA is filed under the name Rattus norvegicus (Norway rat). The record is from RNAcentral. Lineage: Eukaryota; Metazoa; Chordata; Mammalia; Rodentia; Muridae.